GGAAAUGUGUCUGACAAAAGAGUUACUUUGAUAGAGGAAAUAAUAGAGGUUUGAAUCCUCUUAUUUCUA
Molecule: transfer RNA, 69 nt
Filed under: Naemorhedus cranbrooki
Lineage: Eukaryota; Metazoa; Chordata; Mammalia; Artiodactyla; Bovidae
Description: Nemorhedus cranbrooki tRNA-Ile
Rfam family: tRNA
About the family: Transfer RNA (tRNA) molecules are approximately 80 nucleotides in length. Their secondary structure includes four short double-helical elements and three loops (D, anti-codon, and T loops).
Source: RNAcentral